GAGGAGGUAUUCGUCCGAAUACGGGUGGGUUAUUAUAAAGUCAGACAAGACUAAAUUCUUAUUUUUGAGAACGUGUUUUUUCGGAUGAGCAGAGGAAAUAAGGUGUAGCUGCUGAAGGUGCUCCAGGCAAAUUUGGAGCAUUAAUGGAGGACUUCAAGUGGGAACCCAAGACUGUGACUCAGAGUGGACCUGAGUCCUAUUCCAAGAAUACUGGGCAUGAUGCCCACCUCGACCUCGGAUGGGACACCAGUCCAUCACAGGGUACUUUACACAGACUCAUUCACACUUACGGGCAAUUUAGAGUCGCCAGUCCAACUACUGACAUUUUUGGAGGUGGGAGGAAACCGGAGAACCCGGAGUAGAUCCAAGUUUCUGUUAAUGGAAGAGCAAGAUAUAAAUCCCAUUUGCACAACUAUCAGUAAUGUAAAUAAUGAUUAGCCGUAGUGAAGAGAUACCAAUGUGACCAUGAACGUUUUAACUGCAACUAACUCGAAUUUAAACUAACAAGUCAACUCAGAAUUUUAUUAGAAAUUAAAUCUAGGAUUGCGCGUUACUGCUAAAGUUUAAUAUGCAAUUUGUUUCCAAGUGGAUUUUUCCUUUAAGUGCC
Long non-coding RNA from Ictalurus punctatus (channel catfish), 607 nucleotides. Lineage: Eukaryota; Metazoa; Chordata; Actinopteri; Siluriformes; Ictaluridae. The record is from Ensembl.